GACGAACGCUGGCGGCGUGCUUAACACAUGCAAGUCGAACGGAAAGGCCCUGCUUUUGUGGGGUGCUCGAGUGGCGAACGGGUGAGUAACACUUGAGUAACCUGCCCUUGACUUUGGGAUAACUUCAGGAAACUGGUGCUAAUACCGGAUAGGAGCUCCUGCUGCAUGUGGGGGGUUGGAAAGUUUCGUCGGUUGGGGAUGGACUCGCGGCUUAUCAGGUUGUUGGUGGGGUAGUGGCUUACCAAGGCUUUGACGGGUAGCCGGCCUGAGAGGGUGACCGGCGACAUUGGGACUGAGAUACGGCGCAGACUCCUACGGGAGGCAGCAGUGGGGAAUAUUGCACAAUGGGCGGAAGCCUGAUGCAGCAACGCCGCGUGCGGGAUGACGGCCUUCGGGUUGUAAACCGCUUUCGCCUGUGACGAAGCGUGAGUGACGGUAAUGGGUAAAGAAGCACCGGCUAACUACGUG
RNAcentral lists this ribosomal RNA (468 nucleotides) under uncultured bacterium. RNAcentral describes it as "partial 16S ribosomal RNA". It matches the Rfam family "Bacterial small subunit ribosomal RNA", at positions 28 to 507 of the family's 1533-position model. The record is from RNAcentral.